GAUGAAGAACGUAGCGAAAUGCGAUAAGUAAUGUGAAUUGCAGAAUUCAGUGAAUCAUCGAAUCUUUGAACGCACAUUGCGCCCGCCAGUAUUCUGGCGGGCAUGCCUGUUCGAGCGUCAUUUCAACCAUCAAGCCCCCGGCUUGUGUUGGGGACCUGCGGCUGCCGCAGGCCCUGAAAACCAGUGGCGGGCUCGCUAGUCACUCCGAGCGUAGUAAUACAUCUCGCUCAGGGCGUGCUGCGGGUUCCGGCCGUUAAAAAGCCUUAUUUACCCAAGGUUGACCUCGGAUCAGGUAGGAAGACACGCUGAACUUAAGCAUAUCAAUAAGCGGAGGA
RNAcentral lists this unclassified non-coding RNA (335 nucleotides) under soil metagenome. RNAcentral's name for it is "partial contains 5.8S ribosomal RNA, internal transcribed spacer 2, and large subunit ribosomal RNA". The stretch from base 1 to 120 matches the Rfam family "5.8S ribosomal RNA", at positions 35 to 154 of the family's 154-position model. The record is from RNAcentral.